RNAcentral lists this long non-coding RNA (7775 nucleotides) under Gossypium barbadense (sea-island cotton). Its description in RNAcentral is "long non-coding RNA (GBAR_LNC002660)". The record is from RNAcentral. Lineage: Eukaryota; Viridiplantae; Streptophyta; Magnoliopsida; Malvales; Malvaceae.
AGCUAUGGUCUUAUACGGAGUCAUAUUAUCACAUUGCACCGAUGCCAUAGCCCAGCUAUGGUCUUAAACGGGCACACUUAUCACAUAUUUUUCGUCAAUUCAUCAGGGUCACAGAAUAGAAGCACUCAAAUCCAUUGUUCCUACUAAUUUGUACUUUUAGUUACACAUUAUUCAUUAGUUAAUACAAAUUGAUAGUAUUCAUCAACAAUAAAAUACUUUAACAAUCAUAAGAUUUUCAUAUCAAAACAUUGAACUUUGCCAUAUGAACUUACCUGGACUAAUUUACAAAAGUCGUAGAAAUUCAGGGACUAUUCUUGAAUUUUCUCCUUUCCACGAUUCAGUUCGUUUUCUUGAUCUAUAAUUAUAAAAUCAUUCCUUCAUUAGCAUCCAUUUCAAUUCUAUUUCACUUCACAAUUUAUGCUGUUCAAAUUUCGAAAUUGCACUUUUACCCCAAAAUUUACAGUUUUCACAAUUUAGUCCCUGCUCAAUUCACCCAUCAAUUGAACUAAUUUUUCUCAAUUAACACUUUAUUUUAUCAUUAUAAACUAUUUCAAAACCUUUUAUAUUCUUAAUUUCAACAGAAACCUUCAAUUCACAACUUUUUCACAAUUAGGUCCUAAAUAUCAUUUUCUAUCAAAAUCACUUAAUAAAACCACCUUAAUAUGAAAUUAGAACUUAAAUUUCGUAAUAAUUCAUCAUAAAAUUUCCCUAUCCAUCCAGGGUAACCUCCAAUUUCACCCAUAAAAUCAAAAACUAAUGAAUUCUACAAGUGGACCUAAUUGUAAAAGUCAUAAAAACAUAAAAAUUAUCAAGAAAAGUAAGAAUUAAACUCACAUGAUGUAAAAAUAUGAAAAACCAGCUUUCUCCAGACCUUCUAUGGCGUUUUGGCUGAGAAAAUAUGAAGAAAUGUCUAGAUUUUUCAAUUAUAUCAUUAUUUAACUAUUAACUUUUAUGCUAUUUCUAAUUUUGCCCCUUGUUCACAUUGUUUUCUUGCUUAUUUCAUAUCCAAACCGUCCAGCCAUUAACCUUUGGGUCUAAUUGCUCCUUAAAUCCAUAUUUUUAAAUACUUAAGCUAUUUACUCACAAUUUAACAAAUUUUGCGCUAUUUUCAAUUUAGUCCUUUUUAAUUAAUUAGCCAUCCAAACGUUAAAAUUUUCUAACGAAACUUUAAUACUAACUCAAUGACACUCCAUAAAUAUUUAUAAAAAUAUUUAUAGCUCGAUUUUCAACUUUGAGGUCUCGAUACCUCAUUUUUGACCCGUUUGACCUAAUAAAUUCUUUUAACUCACUAAUUUCACCAUUUCACAAAUUCUUCUAAAUUCUUACUUGACUCAUAAAUAUUAAAUUACUAUCUUGUUCAAUCUUAUUUGUCGAAUUUAGUGAUCUCAAAUCACCAUUUCCGACACCACUGAAAAUUAGGCCGUUACAACUCUCCCCCCUUUACAAAUUUCGUCCUCGAAAUUUGUUACCUGAAAACAGAUUUGGAUACUGUGAUCUCAUUGACUCCUCUGUUUCCCAGGUUGCCUCCUCCAAUCCAUGUCGAUGCCAUAACACUUUUACUAACGGUACUCGUUUAUUCCGUAGUUCUUUAACUUCCCGAGCUAGUAUUUUCACUGGUUCCUCCGAAUAAGUCAUAUCUGAUUGUAGCUUUAUCUCAGUAUGAGGAAUCACAUGUGAAGGGUCUGAUCUAUAUCGUCUCAACAUAGAUACAUGAAAUACAUUAUGGAUCUUCUCAAGUUCUGGAGGCAAGGCCAAUCUAUAAACUACCGGACCGAUCCUCUCAAUGAUUUCGUAUGGUCCGAUAAAUCGUGGACUAAGCUUUCCUUUUCUCCCAAACCGUAAAACUUUCUUCCACGGAGAAACUUUCAAGAACACACGAUCACCCACAUUGAACUCUAUAUUUAUUCUUUUCAAAUCUGCAUACGACUUUUGACGAUCGGAAGCAGCUUUCAAACUUUCCCGAAUAAUCUAAACUUUCUCUUCAGUUUCCCGAAUUAAAUCCACUCCGACUAAUUUCGAUUCACUUAAUUCUGACCAAUACAACGGGGUUCUGCACUUCCUUCCAUACAGAGCUUCAAACGGUGCCAUUUUGAUACUAGCUUGAUAACUGUUAUUAUAAGCAAAUUCAGCUAAAGGUAAGUACCUUUCCCAGCUGCCACUGAACUCGAGUAUACAGCACCUUAACAUAUCUUCCAAAAUCUGAAUCACUCGCUCUGAUUGUCUAUCUGUCUGAGGGUGAAAAGCUGUACUAAAUUUUAAUUUAGUACCUACAGCUUCCUGUAGUUUAUUCCAAAAUCUCGAAGUAAACCUCGGAUCUCGAUCAGAAAUAAUUGAUGUUGGCACCCCAUGUAAUCUUACAAUUUCUGACACAUAUAAUCUCGCUAACUUAUCAAGUGAAAAAUCUGUUCUGACCGGAAUAAAAUGUGCCGAUUUAGUGAAUCUAUCUACUAUCACCCAAAUCGAAUCUUUUUUCUUCGGAGUCACUGGCAAUCCAGAUACAAAAUCCAUCGUCACAUGUUCCCACUUCCAUUCUGGAAUCAUUACGGGUUGUAACAAACCUGUAGGCACUUGAUGUUCAGCUUUUACCUGUUGACAGAUUAAACAUUUUGCCACAAGUUCACAAAUUUCCCGUUUCAUACCAGGCCACCAAUACAUUUUUUUCAAAUCACAAUACAUCUUCGUACUACCCGGAUGAAUCGAGUACAUACUACUAUGAGCCUCUGAUAAGAUAUCCUUCUUCAAUUCUAGAUUAUUCGGGACACAAAUUCUAUUACGAUGGUAUAACAUACCACUAUUAUCAAUAGAGUAAUCUAAGUUCAAAUUAUCCCGAACCAUUUGUCGUUUCAACACCAACUUCGGAUCUUCAUCUUGCAAUUCCCGAAUUCGUUGAAAGAAUACUGGUUUUGUCUUUAAUUCAGCUAAUAUAGAACCAUUUUCAUUAACAGACAAAUGAGCAUUUAACGCCCGAAGAGCAAAUAAUGAUGAUUUCCGACUAAGUGCAUCUGCCACUACAUUUGCCUUACUCGGAUGAUAAUCAAUGAUAAGAUUGUAAUCUUUCAACAGCUCUAAGCAUCACCUCUGUCUCAAAUUCAGCUCUUUCUGCGACAUUAAAUAUUUCAAACUUUUAUGGUCUGUAUACACAUAACAUUUCUCUCCAUAUAGGUAGUGUCUCCAAAUUUUUAAAGCAAAUACUAUGGCAGCUAAUUCAAGAUCAUGUGUAGGGUAGUUCCUCUCAUGUGGUUUCAACUGUCGAGAAGCAUAUGCUACAACUUUUCCUGACUGCAUCAAUACACAACCUAAACCAUUCAGAGACGCAUCACUAUAUACUACAUAUGGCACACCUGAUUCAGGCUGAGUUAACACCGGAGCCUCUGUCAACAUUUUCUUUAAUUGAUCAAAACUUUGUUGGCACUCAUCAGACCAUACAAACUCAACAUUCUUCUGUAAUAAUUUAGUUAUCGGUGAAGCAAUCAGUGAAAAAUCUUUCACAAAUCGACGAUAGUAACCAGCUAAUCCAAGGAAACUUCGCACUUCCGUAACAUUCUUUGGAGUUUUCCAAUUAAUCACCGCUGACACCUUACUCAGAUACCAUCAACUGACACAAUGUGACCCAAGAAUCCCACUUCAUGAAGCCAAAAUUCACAUUUACUAAAUUUUGCAUAUAACUGUUUUUCCCUUAAUAUCUGUAGUACAAUUCUCAAGUGCUGAGCAUGCUCGGAUUCUGUCUUUGAAUAGAUCAGUAUAUCGUCAAUAAACACAACCACAAAUCUAUCCAGGUAAGACUGGAAAAUUCGAUUCAUUAAAUCCAUAAAAGCAGCAGGAGCAUUUGUCAAACCGAAUGGCAUAACUAAGAACUCAUAAUGACCAUACCGAGUUCUAAAAGCUGUUUUCGGUACAUCACAUUCCUUUACCUUUAACUGAUAAUACCCGGAUCUGAGAUCUAUUUUUGAAAACACUGUAGCAUCCUUAAGCUGAUCGAAUAAAUCAUCAAUACGAGGCAAAGGAUAUUUAUUUUUAAUUGUUACCUUAUUCAGCUGCCUGUAAUCUAUGCACAACCUCAAUGAACCAUCCUUCUUUUUCACAAAUAAGACAGGUGCACCCCAUGGUGACAUACUCAGUCUGAUAAACCCUUUGUCUAAUAGUUCUUGCAACUGCGCUUUUGACUCUCUUAAUUCUGCUGGAGCCAUUCUAUACGGUGUCACUGAUAUGGGAGCUAUUCCUGGAAGCACAUCUAUCACGAACUCAACUUCUCUAUCGGGUGGUUAACCUGGUAAUUCUUCAGAAAAUACAUCCAUGAAUUCAUUUACAACAGAUAGUUGCUCUAACUUUGAUUUAGAACUUCAAGUAUCAAGAAUAUAGGCUAAAUAAGCCUCAUUUCCUUUACGCAACAAUUUCUGAGCAGACAUAAAGGAAAUCAUUCUAACCAUGUCAUCCAAAUUCCCAGAUUCAACCAAAACAAUAUCUCCUGUUUGACAUUUCAAGCUAAUUCGUUUUUCUCGACAAUUCACUACCGCGUCAUGUUUCAUUAACCAGUCCAUGCCCAAGAUAAUAUCAAAUUCACGAAAGGGUAGCAGCAUCAAAUCAGCGGGGAAAUCACAGCCCUUAACUUUUAGUGGACAGUUAUGACAUAUUAAAUUAACUACCACACUUUGACCUAACGGAUUUGUAACGUGUACAUCAUAAUCAGUAGGCUCAACAAAUAAAUUCUUUUCAGAUGCUAACAUAGUGAAAAUAUAUGAAUGAGUAGACCCAGGGUCUAUUAAAGCAUACACAGGAACAUCAUAAAGAUAGAAAGUACCAGCAAUUACAUCUGGAGCUGUUGCUUCUUCUCUCGCUCGAAUGGCAUAAGUACAAGCAGGAGCCCUAACUUCUGAUCGGCUAGCAAUAUCUUUCAUACCCGAACGAGUAGCCCCUGUAGCACUGCUUUGACCAGAGCGUCUUCCUUUUUGAGGAAGAAUUUUCUAUUUCUCCCUCUGUUCCACUUCUUCUACUUGUAAUUGGGGACAAUCACGAAUAAAGUGAUCAGUGGCCCCACAUUUAUAACAAGCCCCUAACUUCUACAUUCUCCGGGGUGACUUCUUCCACAAUGUUGACACUUAGGCCUUUGGGUAUUUUGUACACUACCCACACUAACAGCAGGUCUGUCAGAUGCUUUGUAAUCAGAUUGUCUUGGCCUACUUUUUCCUGAUCUUUCCGGUACUGAAGUGGCUCGACUGAAUUCCUCUUUAGAUUUCUUCACUGGUAAAGCCGAAAAUGACUUAGAUGCACUUCUUUUGAAAGAUUCUUUACUUAUUCUAUCUCGUUGCAUCUUUUUAUUAUAUACUUCUUCAAGCUUCUGAGCACGAUCUGAUAGAACAACAAAUUCUCGUAUCUCAAUGUCCCCUAUCAUCAUUUUAAUCUCAUCAUUAAGCCCUUCUUCAAAUCUGAUACACAUUUCUUCUUCUGUGGGUACUAUAUCUCGAGCAUAUUUGCUCAGAUAAACAAAUUCUCUUUUCUUCUUAUCCAGAUAUCUUCUACCGACAUAUUUCUUAAAUUCAUUUUGAAAAAAUUCCCAAGUGAUCUUCUCAGCCGGUACAACAGCUUCUAUUGUUUCCCACCAGUUAUAAGCUUCUUCUUUCAAUAAUGACACGGCACAUAUUAAGUAAUCAUCUGGUGAGCACGCCAUUUGCUUAAAAACCCUCAUUAUACUUUGUAACCAAUAUUCAGCUUUAACGGGGUCAUAAUCUGUUCUUCCCCGAAAUUCUUCAGCCCCAUGUUUUCUGAGCUUUUCAAAUGGAGAACGUUUGCCAGAUUCAGUUGUCGGAGGAGGUGGAGGAGCAACCGGGGGUACUACAGAUGUUGAGAUAGGGGGAGGAGGUUACGGAGUCUGAUUUCUUUCUCGUACAUUCUUAUUAUACCACUGAUUCAUGAAUCCAUAAAUCAUAUUUUUGAGUUCUUGUUCUCGCAUCAAUUAAAUCGGAGCUUCACUACUUGUUCCUUGUUCAGAGGCUUGUACUCUGCUAUUAACUUCUUCUUGCUCAGUUUGUUCUGGUCUAUCUGACAUCUUUUCAAAUCGAAGAUAAUCUAUAAUAAAAACAAGGAUUAGAUCGGAUCAUACACAGCACACUAUCACAGAUUUAUAUGGCAUGUAUUUCUAGACACUUUUCACAUCAUACAUAUUCUGAGAAUCGGCUAAACCGAAGCUCUGAUACCAAUAAAUGUAACGCCCCUUACCCGAGACCGUUUCCGGAGUCGAGAGCAAGGCACUACUAAACUUAUUUGAGCACUUAACCAAAUUCAGAUAAUUUAUAUCAUACUUUUCAGACAAGUUGUCCAACUGCGUCAUAGUUGCUAAAUAAUUCAUAUCUCGAGUUAUAAAACUUGAAACCCAAAUACGUAAAUUUUCCCCGAAUUUAUACUCAUAUAUAUACUUACCAAUUUUUUUAUAUAAUUUUUGGUUGGUCCAAUUAGUACAGUUUAUUAGUUAAAUCCUCCCCUGUUUCAGGGUUUGGCUACUUUGACUCCUGUGCACUACGAACCAAAUUUCUCUCUGUAAAAAAUUCAAAUAACCAUGCCGUUCGUUUUUCUUAAAAAUAGACCCAAUGAGAAAUCCAUAAAUAUACAGUAUGACUCAUAAUUAUUUUUGUGCAAUUUUUAAUGAUUUUCUAAAAUCAGAACAGGGGAACUCGAAGUCAUUCAGACUCUGUCUCACCACAAUUUAAAUAUCUCAUAACAUAAAAUCCAAUUGCAUUCGCCAUUUCCUCUAUAUGAAACUAGACUCAUUAGGCUUUGAUCUCAUUUUUUUUUCAGCCCUUAACUCAAUUUACACAAUUUAUGGUAAAUUUUCAAAGUCAAACUACUGCUACUUACCAAAAACUGUUUUAGUACAAAUAUUGUUAACUAGUUCAUAACAUCUUUACUUCAAUUCAUUCAAACUCUAUACAUGCCAUAUAAAUCUUUAAACAUAAAACAAAAACUACUAGAAUUGAUCUGAAUAGUGUGCCCUAUUGUGUUGAUCCGAUCUACCCACUUCACUUCAAGUCAAUCUACAUAAAAAUAUUAAACACACACAAGUAAGCUUAUUGAAGCUUAGUAAGCUCAUAGGCAUAUAAACACAAAUCAUAUCAAAUAUCGUACACAAUCAUAUAUCUAUUAGUUUAACUAUUUCAUCCUCCAAAUCACAAUUUCAUUAAUAACUCAUUGGAAUAAUUUCCAUAUGACUACUCACAAUUUAACUCCCUUAGGCCCAUUUCUCAUUUACUUCAUUGUCAAAUUAGGGAACAAUAAGGGAAUUGAGUGCUUCAUUAUUUCAUUGCCAUAGUAAACUAUGGACUUUCACAUUGUUACGCAUCACACACCGAAGCCAUAGCCUUGCCAUGGUCUUACACGGUUCACAUAUCAUAUCGAAGCCAUAUCCCAGACAUGGUCUUAUACGGAAUCACAUUAUCACAUUAUACCGAUGCCCUAGCCCAGCUAUGGUCUUAUACGGAGUCACAUUAUCACAUUGCACCGAUGCCAUAGCCCAGCUAUGGUCUUAAACGGGCACACUUAUCACAUAUUUUUCGUCAAUUCAUCAGGGUCACAGAAUAGAAGCACUCAAAUCCAUUGUUCCUACUAAUUUGUACUUUUAGUUACACAUUAUUCAUUAGUUAAUACAAAUUGAUAGUAUUCAUCAACAAUAAAAUACUUUAACAAUCAUAAGAUUUUCAUAUCAAAACAUUGAACUUUGCCAUAUGAACUUACCUGGACUAAUUUGCAAAAGUCGUAGAAAUUCAGGGACUAUUCUUGAAUUUUCU